UACGUAGGGGGCUAGCGUUAUCCGGAAUUACUGGGCGUAAAGCGAGCGCAGGCGGUUCCUUAAGUCUGAUGUGAAAGCCCACGGCUCAACCGUGGAAGGUCAUUGGAAACUGGGGAACUUGAGUGCAGAAGAGGAGAGUGGAAUUCCAUGUGUAGCGGUGAAAUGCGUAGAUAUAUGGAGGAACACCAGUGGCGAAGGCGACUCUCUGGUCUGUAACUGACGCUGAGGCUCGAAAGCGUGGGGAGCAAACAGGAUUAGA
This 259-nucleotide ribosomal RNA is filed under the name uncultured prokaryote. RNAcentral's name for it is "partial 16S ribosomal RNA". It matches the Rfam family "Bacterial small subunit ribosomal RNA", at positions 524 to 782 of the family's 1533-position model. The record is from RNAcentral.